UGGGGAAUUUUGGACAAUGGGCGAAAGCCUGAUCCAGCAAUGCCGCGUGUGUGAAGAAGGCCUUCGGGUUGUAAAGCACUUUUGUCCGGAAAGAAAUCCUUGGCUCUAAUACAGUCGGGGGAUGACGGUACCGGAAGAAUAAGCACCGGCUAACUACGUGCCAGCAGCCGCGGUAAUACGUAGGGUGCAAGCGUUAAUCGGAAUUACUGGGCGUAAAGCGUGCGCAGGCGGUUUGCUAAGACCGAUGUGAAAUCCCCGGGCUCAACCUGGGAACUGCAUUGGUGACUGGCAGGCUAGAGUAUGGCAGAGGGGGGUAGAAUUCCACGUAUAGCAGUGAAAUGCGUAGAGAUGUGGAGGAAUACCGAUGGCGAAGGCAGCCCCCUGGGCCAAUACUGACGCUCAUGCACGGAAGCGUGGGGAGCAAACAGGAUUAGAUACCCUGGUAGUCCACGCCCUAAACGAUGUCAACUAGUUGUUGGGGAUUCAUUUCCUUAGUAACGUAGCUAACGCGUGAAGUUGACCGCCUGGGGAGUACGGUCGCAAGAUUAAAACUCAAAUGAAUUGACGGGGUCAUAGCUGUUUCCU
Molecule: ribosomal RNA, 585 nt
Filed under: uncultured bacterium
Lineage: Bacteria
Description: partial 16S ribosomal RNA
Rfam family: Bacterial small subunit ribosomal RNA
Source: RNAcentral